CGUUUCCCGGUUCGCUCGGCCGCGGUCGCUAUGGAGGAGCCGGAGAUGCAGCUCAAGGGGAAGAAAGUCACGGACAAGUUCACUGAGAGCGUCUACGUCCUGGCCAACGAGCCAUCCGUGGCCCUGUACCGGCUGCAGGAGCAUGUGCGUCGCUCCCUCCCCGAGCUGGCCCAGCACAAGGCAGACAUGCAGCGUUGGGAGGAGCAGAGCCAGGGAGCCAUCUACACUGUGGAGUACGCCUGCAGCGCCGUGAAGAACCUGGUGGACAGCAGCGUCUACUUCCGCAGCGUGGAGGGUCUGCUCAAACAGGCCAUCAGCAUCCGGGACCAUAUGAAUGCCAGUGCCCAGGGCCACAGACAAAGAUCAUUCCACUCAGCCUGGGACGAUGGGGAGGAAAAAAAUCCAGAUCUCCCGCAUCCUGGACCAAAGGAAUCGGCAGGUGACGUUCACCAAGCGGAAGUUCGGGCUGAUGAAGAAGGCCUAUGAGCUGAGCGUGCUCUGUGACUGUGAGAUAGCCCUCAUCAUCUUCAACAGCGCCAACCGCCUCUUCCAGUAUGCCAGCACGGACAUGGACCG
RNAcentral lists this long non-coding RNA (576 nucleotides) under Homo sapiens (human). RNAcentral describes it as "non-protein coding lnc-BORCS8-1:3". Lineage: Eukaryota; Metazoa; Chordata; Mammalia; Primates; Hominidae. The record is from RNAcentral.